AUGUGGUUGAAAGAAUGGACGGCGAUCUGUGGGAUAAAGUUCUACAGCGUGAUAACGAAUAUAGAAGGCAGUUCAUUGACCAAGUGGUUUCUACUGCAUUGCCCGAAAGCAAGAGUCCUGAGCAAGUUUCUGCUGCUGUUAAGGCUUUCAUGA
This 153-nucleotide ribosomal RNA is filed under the name Triticum aestivum (bread wheat). Its description in RNAcentral is "partial small subunit ribosomal RNA". The record is from RNAcentral. Lineage: Eukaryota; Viridiplantae; Streptophyta; Magnoliopsida; Poales; Poaceae.